This 551-nucleotide ribosomal RNA is filed under the name Theileria ovis. RNAcentral describes it as "SSU rRNA". It matches the Rfam family "Eukaryotic small subunit ribosomal RNA", at positions 513 to 1096 of the family's 1831-position model. Lineage: Eukaryota; Apicomplexa; Aconoidasida; Piroplasmida; Theileriidae. The record is from RNAcentral.
AAUGAUGGGAAUUUAAACCUCUUCCAGAGUAUCAAUUGGAGGGCAAGUCUGGUGCCAGCAGCCGCGGUAAUUCCAGCUCCAAUAGCGUAUAUUAAAAUUGUUGCAGUUAAAAAGCUCGUAGUUGAAUUUCUGCUGCAUUGCUUUUGCUCCUUUACGAGUCUUUGCAUUGUGGCUUAUUUCGGACUUUGUUUUACAAUGUCCGGAUGUUUACUUUGAGAAAAUUAGAGUGCUCAAAGCAGGCUUUCGCCUUGAAUAGUUUAGCAUGGAAUAAUAAAGUAGGACUUUGGUUCUAUUUUGUUGGUUUUAGGUACCAAAGUAAUGGUUAAUAGGAACAGUUGGGGGCAUUCGUAUUUAACUGUCAGAGGUGAAAUUCUUAGAUUUGUUAAAGACGAACUACUGCGAAAGCAUUUGCCAAGGAUGUUUUCAUUAAUCAAGAACGAAAGUUAGGGGAUCGAAGACGAUCAGAUACCGUCGUAGUCCUAACCAUAAACUAUGCCGACUAGAGAUUGGAGGUCGUCAGUUUUUACGACUCCUUCAGCACCUUGAGAGAA